GUCCGGAAUCAUUGGGCGUAAAGAGCUCGUAGGCGGCUUGGUAAGUCGGAUGUGAAACCUCCAGGCUCAACCUGGAGUCGCCAUCCGAUACUGCCAUGGCUAGAGUCCGGUAGGGGCCCACGGAACUCCUGGUGUAGCGGUGAAAUGCGCAGAUAUCAGGAAGAACACCGGUGGCGAAGGCGGUGGGCUGGGCCGGCACUGACGCUGAGGAGCGAAAGCGUGGGGAGCGAACAGGAUUAGAUACCCUGGUAGUCCACGCCGUAAACGUUGGGCACUAGGUGUGGGACCUUAUCAACGGGUUCCGUGCCGUAGCUAACGCAUUAAGUGCCCCGCCUGGGGAGUACGGCCGCAAGGCUAAAACUCAAAGGAAUUGACGGGGGCCCGCACAAGCGGCGGAGCAUGCGGCUUAAUUCGAGGCAACGCG
This 424-nucleotide ribosomal RNA is filed under the name uncultured bacterium. RNAcentral's name for it is "bacterial SSU rRNA". It matches the Rfam family "Bacterial small subunit ribosomal RNA", at positions 543 to 963 of the family's 1533-position model. The record is from RNAcentral.